GACGAACGCUGGCGGCGUGCUUAACACAUGCAAGUCGAACGGAAAGGCCCUGCUUUUGUGGGGUGCUCGAGUGGCGAACGGGUGAGUAACACGUGAGUAACCUGCCCUUGACUUUGGGAUAACUUCAGGAAACUGGGGCUAAUACCGGAUAGGAGCUCCUGCUGCAUGGUGGGGGUUGGAAAGUUUCGGCGGUUGGGGAUGGACUCGCAGCUUAUCAGCUUGUUGGUGGGGUAGUGGCUUACCAAGGCUUUGACGGGUAGCCGGCCUGAGAGGGUGACCGGCCACAUUGGGACUGAGAUACGGCCCAGACUCCUACGGGAGGCAGCAGUGGGGAAUAUUGCACAAUGGGCGGAAGCCUGAUGCAGCAACGCCGCGUGGGGAUGACGGCCUUCGGGUUGUAAACCGCUUUCGCCUGUGACGAAGCGUGAGUGACGGUAAUGGGUAAAGAAGCACCGGCUAACUACGU
Molecule: ribosomal RNA, 466 nt
Filed under: uncultured bacterium
Lineage: Bacteria
Description: partial 16S ribosomal RNA
Rfam family: Bacterial small subunit ribosomal RNA
Source: RNAcentral